UACAGAGGUCUCAAGCGUUGUUCGGAUUCAUUGGGCGUAAAGGGUGCGUAGGCGGCGCGGUAAGUCGGGUGUGAAAUCUUGGAGCUUAACUCCGAAAUGCAUUCGAUACUGCCGUGCUUGAGGACUGGAGAGGAGACUGGAAUUUACGGUGUAGCGGUGAAAUGCGUAGAUAUCGUAAGGAAGACCAGUGGCGAAGGCGGGUCUCUGGACAGCUCCUGACGCUGAGGCACGAAGGCUAGGGGAGCAAACGGG
RNAcentral lists this ribosomal RNA (252 nucleotides) under uncultured bacterium. RNAcentral's name for it is "partial 16S ribosomal RNA". It matches the Rfam family "Bacterial small subunit ribosomal RNA", at positions 524 to 776 of the family's 1533-position model. The record is from RNAcentral.